CCUACGGGUGGCAGCAGUGAGGAAUAUUGGUCAAUGGACGAGAGUCUGAACCAGCCAAGUAGCGUGAAGGAUGACUGCCCUAUGGGUUGUAAACUUCUUUUAUAUGGGAAUAAAACGUUUCACGUGUGGGAUUUUGUAUGUAUUAUAUGAAUAAGGAUCGGCUAACUCCGUGCCAGCAGCCGCGGUAAUACGGGGGAUCCGAGCGUUAUCCGGAUUUAUUGGGUUUAAAGGGAGCGUAGGUGGGUUGUUAAGUCAGUUGUGAAAGUUUGCGGCUCAACCGUAAAAUUGCAGUUGAUACUGGCAGUCUUGAGUACAGUAGAGGUGGGCGGAAUUCGUGGUGUAGCGGUGAAAUGCUUAGAUAUCACGAAGAACUCCGAUUGCGAAGGCAGUUCACUGAACUGCAACUGACACUGAGGCUCGAAAGUGUGGGUAUCAAACAGGAUUAGAUACCCCUGUAGUC
Molecule: ribosomal RNA, 460 nt
Filed under: uncultured bacterium
Lineage: Bacteria
Description: partial 16S ribosomal RNA
Rfam family: Bacterial small subunit ribosomal RNA
Source: RNAcentral